CUUUUGGGAGCUUGCUCCCAAAAGUUAGCGGCGGACGGGUGAGUAACACGUGGGCAACCUGCCUAUAAGACUGGGAUAACUUCGGGAAACCGGAGCUAAUACCGGAUAACAUAUGAGACCACAUGGUCUCAUAUUAAAAGAUGGCUUUUAGCUAUCACUUAUAGAUGGGCCCGCGGCGCAUUAGCUAGUUGGUGAGGUAAUGGCUCACCAAGGCGACGAUGCGUAGCCGACCUGAGAGGGUGAUCGGCCACACUGGGACUGAGACACGGCCCAGACUCCUACGGGAGGCAGCAGUAGGGAAUCUUCCGCAAUGGACGAAAGUCUGACGGAGCAACGCCGCGUGAGCGAAGAAGGUCUUCGGAUCGUAAAGCUCUGUUGUUAGGGAAGAACAAGUACCGUUCAAAUAGGGCGGUACCUUGACGGUACCUAACCAGAAAGCCACGGCUAACUA
Molecule: ribosomal RNA, 451 nt
Filed under: Bacillus timonensis
Lineage: Bacteria; Bacillati; Bacillota; Bacilli; Caryophanales; Bacillaceae
Description: bacterial SSU rRNA
Rfam family: Bacterial small subunit ribosomal RNA
Source: RNAcentral